GGGAGUGCCAAGGUUUCGACAGGGUUAUCAGGUUGUAGGUAGCAGGCCAGGUUGGUCGCUGUGAGAGGCCAAACAUCGUUUAGAUGAAAACAACAAUUACGCUUUAGCUGCCUAACGCAGCUUGCUCCAGGUUUCCGAGGCCGUUUAGGAAUCCUUACGGAGUAUAACUAAUAUACGGCUUACCCGAUACUGUGUCUCGAUGUAUAGGGGAAAUUUAAGAGGCUGGCAUUAUCUGACCAUGUCUGUGUGGGCCGAUAAUGUGAGAUCAAAUCGCAGACUAAGCUUGUAGAAGCUUAUGAUACUGGUGAUCUUGGACACGGGUUCGAUUCCCGUCACUUCCACCA
RNAcentral lists this transfer-messenger RNA (344 nucleotides) under Ilyobacter polytropus. RNAcentral's name for it is "Standard tmRNA". It matches the Rfam family "transfer-messenger RNA". From Rfam's summary of the family: Bacterial tmRNA, also known as 10Sa RNA or SsrA, is named for its dual tRNA and mRNA-like properties. Its role is to liberate the mRNA from a stalled ribosome. To accomplish this part of the tmRNA is used as a reading frame that ends in a translation stop signal. Lineage: Bacteria; Fusobacteriati; Fusobacteriota; Fusobacteriia; Fusobacteriales; Fusobacteriaceae. The record is from RNAcentral. RNAcentral also lists the same sequence under 1 other name.